CUGAGAUCAGAGAUGGAGUCCUCUGAGGCAUGAAGCUUUCGGAGGGCUGUGAGGCAGAAGCAGUGCCACUCUGCAGCCGGUUGUAGCCACUGUCGCCCAGCCCUGGGUAGCUCUGCAGGGCAGCCAUGUUGCUUCUGGCACAUGGAGGGUAGUCAGACAGGUUGAGGUUGCAAAGCUGACUCUCCCGGCAACCAACAUUGAAAGUGUUGGGGGCCAGAUGGAAGGCUGGAGGGGAGCAGGAUGGAGAGAGAAGGUGAGAGGAAGCAGAGGGUGAUGGAGUCCCUGUGCUGGAGGUUGUUGGAGAGGUGCCUGUGCUGCCUCCUUGCUGCUUCUGCAUGGUGGUG
RNAcentral lists this long non-coding RNA (344 nucleotides) under Gallus gallus (chicken). Lineage: Eukaryota; Metazoa; Chordata; Aves; Galliformes; Phasianidae. The record is from RNAcentral.